AGCUGGUCAGAGAGGAUGACCAGCGACACUGGAACUGAGACACGGUCCAGACUCCUACGGGAGGCAGCAGUGGGGAAUAUUGCACAAUGGGGGGAACCCUGAUGCAGCCAUGCCGCGUGAAUGAAGAAGGCCUUCGGGUAGUAAAGUUCUUUCGGUGACGAGGAAGGCGAUUGUUUUAAUAGAACAGUCGAUUGACGUUAAUCACAGAAGAAGCACCGGCUAACUCCGUGCCAGCUGCCGCGGUAAUACGGGGGGUGCGAGCGUUAAUCGGAAUAACUGGGCGUAAAGGGCACGCAGGCGGUUGUUUAAGUGAGGUGUGAAAGCCCCGGGCUUAACCUGGGAAUUGCAUUUCAGACUGAACAACUAGAGUACUUUAGGGAGGGGUAGAAUUCCACGUGUAGCGGUGAAAUGCGUAGAGAUGUGGAGGAGUACCGAAGGCGAAGGCAGCCCCUUGGAAAUGUACUGACGCUCAUGUGCGAAAGCGUGGGGAGCAAACAGGAUUAGAUACCCAGGUAGUCCACGCCGUAAACGCUGUCGAUUUGGGGAUUGGGGUUUAACUC
RNAcentral lists this ribosomal RNA (560 nucleotides) under Mannheimia haemolytica. RNAcentral's name for it is "bacterial SSU rRNA". It matches the Rfam family "Bacterial small subunit ribosomal RNA", at positions 285 to 839 of the family's 1533-position model. The record is from RNAcentral. Lineage: Bacteria; Pseudomonadati; Pseudomonadota; Gammaproteobacteria; Pasteurellales; Pasteurellaceae.